GAUGAACGCUAGCGGGAGGCCUAACACAUGCAAGCCGAGCGGUAUUGUUUCUUCGGCAAUGAGAGAGCGGCGUACGGGUGCGUAACACGUGUGCAACCUGCCUUUAUCUGGGGGAUAGCCUUUCGAAAGGAAGAUUAAUACUCCAUAAUAUAUUGAACGGCAUCGUUUAAUAUUGAAAGCUCCGGCGGAUAGAGAUGGGCACGCGCAAGAUUAGCUAGUUGGUGAGGUAACGGCUCACCAAGGCGAUGAUCUUUAGGGGGCCUGAGAGGGUGAUCCCCCACACUGGUACUGAGACACGGACCAGACUCCUACGGGAGGCAGCAGUGAGGAAUAUUGGUCAAUGGGUGCAAGCCUGAACCAGCCAUCCCGCGUGAAGGACGACUGCACUAUGGGUUGUAAACUUCUUUUGUAUAGGGAUAAACCUACCCUCGAGAGGGUAGCUGAAGGUACUAUACGAAUAAGCACCGGCUAACUCCGUG
This 479-nucleotide ribosomal RNA is filed under the name uncultured bacterium. RNAcentral's name for it is "partial 16S ribosomal RNA". It matches the Rfam family "Bacterial small subunit ribosomal RNA", at positions 28 to 507 of the family's 1533-position model. The record is from RNAcentral.